RNAcentral lists this ribosomal RNA (498 nucleotides) under uncultured bacterium. RNAcentral's name for it is "partial 16S ribosomal RNA". It matches the Rfam family "Bacterial small subunit ribosomal RNA", at positions 30 to 523 of the family's 1533-position model. The record is from RNAcentral.
AUUGAACGCUGGCGGCAUGCCUUACACAUGCAAGUCGAACGGUAACAGGUCUUCGGAUGCUGACGAGUGGCGAACGGGUGAGUAAUACAUCGGAACGUGCCUAGUAGUGGGGGAUAACUACUCGAAAGAGUGGCUAAUACCGCAUGAGAUCUACGGAUGAAAGCAGGGGAUCGCAAGACCUUGUGCUACUAGAGCGGCCGAUGGCAGAUUAGGUAGUUGGUGGGAUAAAAGCUUACCAAGCCGACGAUCUGUAGCUGGUCUGAGAGGACGAUCUGCCAAACUGGAACGUAGACACGGCCCAGACUCCUACGGGAGGCAGCAGUGGGGAAUUUUGGACAAUGGGCGCAAGCCUGAUCCAGCAAUGCCGCGUGCAGGAUGAAGGCCUUCGGGUUGUAAACUGCUUUUGUACGGAACGAAAAGCCCCGGGUUAAUACCCUGGGGUCAUGACGGUACCGUAAGAAUAAGCACCGGCUAACUACGUGCCAGCCGCCGCGGUAA